This is a long non-coding RNA of Macaca mulatta (Rhesus monkey), 784 nucleotides long. RefSeq lists it as uncharacterized. The record is from RefSeq and is a predicted model, not a curated record. Lineage: Eukaryota; Metazoa; Chordata; Mammalia; Primates; Cercopithecidae.
GGACAGAGGAUGACAAGGAGCAGAGUGGUAGCCAACUCAUAUGCGCUGCACAAACUGCAUCCCAUGUUUAGAAAAACGUCAAAGGAAGGCUUCCGUCCUCGCCAGCACCCGGGAAAAGCAGCUCCCUUACAGUGCAGGCAUUGAAGGUAUCCUUGGAGAGCCUCAGAUGGUGCCAGAGGAUGUGGUCUGAACAUUCACUGAGCUACCUGUUUCCAGCCUGCAGAAUUAGAGAAGAAGAUUUGGAAAACAAAACCCAGAAUGAACAAACAAAACAAAACACAAAAUAUCCCUUUCCAAUUUUGAAAGGAAAACCUCUUAAGGGACAGAAGCUGAUGAACAAGAUCUCACCAUUAUACAAUGAUGAAGCUGGCUCGCGGAUGAGAAAACGGCUACUAGGAAGUCACGAUUAUUGUUGUACAUUAUUUGUGUUUAGUGCCAGAGAAACGAUUUUCUUUCUGUAAUAUCUUUGCCUCAAUAAAAUUAAGAACGUAGUGUAAGAUCCAAAUUUCCCCCAAAGGGGUCAGCUUAAAAAAAUGUACUAGCUCUACUGCCAUGGGGAUUUAUAGUUUCUCCUUUAAUAGUUAUAGUCUGAUAUACCAUAAGUUUUGUUGGUCACUAGGUGGAUUCAUUUAUCUUUCUUUUGAAACACACGUUGAAUGUUUUAAGCAAAUUCUGGCCCUUCAAUUGAUUGAAUUUUGCAUUGAGGAAUGAAUUGUUGAAUGACUUUGGAAUAUGUCUCCAAAACAGGAAGACCUUAAAAUAAAAACAGAUAUUGAAGACUGUA